GACGAACGCUGGCGGCGUGCCUAAUACAUGCAAGUCGAGCGAACCAAUUGAAAGCCUAGCUUUCAUGAGGUUAGCGGCGGACGGGUGAGUAACACGUGGGUAACCUGCCCUAUAGACUGGGAUAACUCGCGGAAACGCGUGCUAAUACCGGAUAACACAUCARAGUGCAUGCUUUGRUGUUGAAAGAUGGUUCUGCUAUCACUAUAGGAUGGGCCCGCGGCGCAUUAGCUUGUUGGUGGGGUAACGGCCUACCAAGGCGACGAUGCGUAGCCGWCCUGAGAGGGUGAUCGGCCACACUGGGACUGAGACACGGCCCAGACUCCUACGGGAGGCAGCAGUAGGGAAUCUUCCACAAUGGGCGAAAGCCUGAUGGAGCAACGCCGCGUGAGCGAAGAAGGUCUUCGGAUCGUAAAGCUCUGUUGUAAGGGAAGAACAAGUGCAGUAGU
RNAcentral lists this ribosomal RNA (446 nucleotides) under Ureibacillus sp. R-26947. RNAcentral's name for it is "bacterial SSU rRNA". It matches the Rfam family "Bacterial small subunit ribosomal RNA", at positions 28 to 462 of the family's 1533-position model. Lineage: Bacteria; Bacillati; Bacillota; Bacilli; Caryophanales; Caryophanaceae. The record is from RNAcentral.